This 45-nucleotide non-coding RNA is filed under the name Schistosoma mansoni. The record is from RNAcentral. Lineage: Eukaryota; Metazoa; Platyhelminthes; Trematoda; Strigeidida; Schistosomatidae.
AUCCAGCUGACCAGUCUCAAAUAAGACAAAACGCGCGCCCUGGAU